CCGGAACUAGGGGCUGUGUUGCAACUCAACCUGCGCUGUCGCGGAAGACACCACCUCCCAGCGCGCGGGAGUUUGCGGAACUGGACCGGCGGUGCGGGGAGCGUGGGUAGGAAACGCUGCUGCGAAGGCUUUGGCUGCCGCGGACCUCUGGGCUGGGGGCUGGCGCGGGGGGCGGGGGCACCCCGCCCCCGGCUCGGUGCCCGCAGUCUUCUCCCCGCCCUUAGCUUAAGGGCGGAGGCACAGAGCCCACAUUGUGCCCCCACCCCACCCCUCCCCUGCCGAGACAGAGCCCCAUUCACCUCUCACACGUCAGUCUUGUGGAUGGGAGCUGGGGCGUGUGCACGCGUGGUAUGCGUGCACUCCCGCUGCGCCUACAGUGAGCAGGGUGGGCUGCAGGAGCGGCGCCCCGCUACUCCAACACCCACCCCACCCCCCAAUCUUGCCGCAGUGGAGCUUCGGCGGCCCACGCCGCUGCGGCUUCAGUUAUUUAUAGGCCUUCGCUGCGGAGAUCCGAGAUCUAGGUGGGACUGUGCAGGGCUGGAGGUGGGGUGGGAUGGCGUGAUGGGGAGUCCUAAAGACAGCUUGGAGGUAGUGUGCCAGCAUCCAGUGGUAGGUCUGGAAGUCCUCCCCUGAAGCCAGGACAAGUAGGAGCCUGGGGCCAGUUUGUUGAUGGCUAAUGGGAGAUUGGGGGAGGGAAACGAGUUGGGAUGCAGCUGGUGGAGAUCACUGUCCAGUGACAGGGUGGGGAGUCUGCUGUCAGUGCCUGAGUGAAGGUAGUCACUCCCUCCCCUCAUGUUUAACAGGGUAGAAGGUGGAAUCAAUGUCCUGUGAUGGGGGUGGAGUAGAAGGUUCAGUGAUUGUGUGACUAGGAGAAGGAAGUGAACCGGGUAGUCCUGGUAGUGCACUGGAGGAGUUGAGAUCAAUGUGUGUGGGGGUCACUGUUUGGGUAUCUGAGAAGUGGGCUGGAGGGGGUGAGGCUAGAUGUGAAUGAGACGUCAAGGACUGGUAGAGAGGAAGGAGUUGGUAUGUAGGUAAGGCAGGGUCAUAGGAAGGAUGUGGUGUCUUUGUUGAUGGGUGGUUGGGGUCAACGUUUAGUUUAAGGAGGUGAUGGGUCAGUGUGCAGUAUCUGCCUCUCUUCUGCAGGCAGAAGUGUGACUGCUCCCCUGUUCUUUCUCCAGGAGGCCAUGUCUGGAGAGGAUUCUGAAGUUCGAGCAGUGUCUGAAGGGGGCUCCAAUGGAGGCAGUGGUUCACCUAGCCCUGGGGACACACUACCCUGGAACCUUGGUAAAACACAGAGGAGCAGGAGGAGCGGAGGUGGCUCUGGGGGCAACGGCAGUGUCUUGGACCCUGCAGAGCGGGCUGUCAUCCGCAUUGCAGGUAACGUAGAAGUACCUGGUCUGCCCAGCUCGUUAACACAGGCCUGUUGAUUAAGCACCUGCUGUGUGCUGCGUGCAGGUGUUUGGAUUGACUGGAUGAAAGGCCAAAGGAAAACUGUUGUUAGGGAGGGCUUCUCUUGUUCCAGGUGAGUGCAGGUAGUACAGCGCCACCUGCUGGCCCCCCAGGUAGCUGCACAAGCCUAAGGCAGGACUUCUUGCUACAUACAGCCCUACCAUCUCUGGCUUCAUAACAAGGGUCCAGAUGUGAUGGUGAUAAUUCCUUGGGGUCCUGGAGCUAAACUGCUCACCAUGCCCCCCGGUUUUGGCUGCCACCCAGGAGCGCAUGGAAGUAGAACAAGAGGAGAUACCUGGUCAGCCAGAGUCCAGCUUUGCCUACCAGUCUGAGGAGGAAGAUGAGAAAAAUCCAGCAAGAAGGCCAGGGGAGGUUGGCAGGCAGUCUAUCCCUUUGGGAAGUAAGUGACCUAGGGCUGGAGGCCAUUGGGCAGAAUAUAUCAAGCAAGGGAGUACGGACGGUAUUCCAUCCACUAGGACCCUCAGGGGCUUAUGAAGCAUAUGAAAGGCAUGGUAGGUCCAGGAGGCCAGGAAGGUAGACCAAGGUGUGAGGGAGAGGACUGGAAAGCCAGCUGCCCAGUGGGGAGGUGAUGCUGCAGGCAUCGAGGAAGUUUGCUGUUGGAAGUGAAGCAACAGCUUGUGGAAAUAGGAGCAGAGAAGAGUAAUGGACAUGCUCUUGCUACCCUGACCCCUGCCCCCGGGGUCAUGUGCUUGUGCAGGAACCUAUGAUCUUUCUCAUUUCAUGUAGGAUUUUGUGUGUGUGUGUGUGUGUGUGGUGCUGGGGGAUUGAACCCAGGGCCUUGUGCAUGUGAGCUAUAUCCGCAGCCCUCAUGUAGAAUUUUAAUUGAGGUCAUUUUUUUCCCACUUGAAAGAGAAUCAUGAAUGUCCUCCCCAUGGACCUUUAAUGAUGCAAAGGGGUGGGGGCUGCAUCUUAGCAGCCACUUAAGGUGGUCUUUGGCAUUCAUGUGCUAGCUAUGCUCUAGCCAGCACCCCUGGCAGGGUCUUUGUGUUUUCCUCUGAUUAUUUUCUCAGGAUUGAUUCCUAGAAGAGGGACUUCUGCUCACAGGGCUCACAGGAUUUAACGUUAGGAGAAACACUGCCAGGAGUGGUCCAGAAAGCCAUCUGUCAAUGUGGGGAGACAGAGGGCCUUGCCAGUCUGAUGGGUGGAAAGGAAUUGUGCUAUCAUUUAUUACCAAGCUUUCUUUUUUACUUCUGUAAAUCGUUUACUCUUGUCAUCUUAUGUACAGAUUUUUUUUUUUUUACUUGCGUUUAAAGGACUCUUUGCCUACCAGAGAUAUCAACUCUGUCUCCAAUACUGCAAUGGAAGAAUUCUAAGUAAAGGCAAAGGGGGGGAAGGGGAGCGCGCGGGCGGCCCAGUGAGGUCGCACUGGCUGGGGCCAGGGAGCUGGAGGACGCUGACCUGGGACCCAGGAGAAACAGAGCUGCGGGAGGGCCGCAUCCCGGUCUGGAGCGGGAAGGGGCGUGCGCCCGCGGGACCCGCGUGGGACCGAAACUCGGAGCCCGCUGAGCAGCGCCCAGGGGC
RNAcentral lists this long non-coding RNA (2991 nucleotides) under Marmota monax (woodchuck). Lineage: Eukaryota; Metazoa; Chordata; Mammalia; Rodentia; Sciuridae. The record is from RNAcentral.